CUGCCAUCACCUUGUUAACCUUACCCUUCAUCUUCGCCACCGCGGAGGGAUUCCGCACGUGCCGCCAGUACAACCUCGGAACCAUUUCCGACCAUACUACCAUAACCCCUGGCACUAACUCCCUUAACCUGUCCACAUCCCUCUUCAUACACUCGAGCAGGACCGUUUGAGGUAACAACCCCACAUCAUUACCCCCUGUGUAAAGCAUCACUAUGUCCGGAACCUGUCCCAAAAGAAUUUUGUGAAACAUUUCCUCACAUAUAACAUAAC
Pelobates cultripes (western spadefoot toad) is the source of this 270-nucleotide non-coding RNA. The record is from the annotation of a GenBank genome assembly. Lineage: Eukaryota; Metazoa; Chordata; Amphibia; Anura; Pelobatidae.